RNAcentral lists this ribosomal RNA (254 nucleotides) under uncultured bacterium. Its description in RNAcentral is "partial 16S ribosomal RNA". It matches the Rfam family "Bacterial small subunit ribosomal RNA", at positions 524 to 776 of the family's 1533-position model. The record is from RNAcentral.
UACGUAGGGGGCGAGCGUUGUCCGGAUUUAUUGGGCGUAAAGAGCUCGUAGGUGGUUUGAUAAGUCGGAUGUGAAAUCUCCAGGCUCAACCUGGAGCUGCCAUUCGAUACUGUCAUGACUUGAGUCCGGUAGGGGACCACGGAAUUCCUGGUGUAGCGGUGAAAUGCGCAGAUAUCAGGAGGAACACCGGUGGCGAAGGCGGGAUCCUGGGCCAGUACUGACGCUGAGGAGCGAAAGCGUGGGGAGCAAACAGG